ACCACUAUCAAUUAUCUAAUAUUAAUCUCUCCACUGACACAAUUUUCCUCUAUGAUUUAUAAACUUAGUUUUGUUUAUAUAUAUCAUCAACAGGGUGUGGAAUCAAGAUAAAAGGAUACUUCGGAGAGUAUAGCCCCAUUCAUACUUUCUCAUCCAUGUGCUUUGUGAAAACAGAAAAUAACUAGAUCUUGUGUUUACAAGAGUAUCGCAGAAAAUGUGCUCUCAAAUAUACUAAUUGGAAGAGCUUUUGGGGGAAGCAGUUUGGCACUAUGUUUUGAGAACCUCAAAUUGUUCACUUCCUUUGGCUUGGUGAUUCCACGAGUGAGAGAUCUACCCAAGAGAAGAUGGAAUACACAAAACACACCCAGUACACACAGUAUCACAGUAUAGAAAAGUCAUUUUGCAAAAGAUACACAUCAAAAUAUAUUUGUAAUAAGGAAAACUUGGAAGUAACUUACAAGUCCAGCAAUUUAGGGACCAGCUUAGGAGACAGUAUAAAAAUUAUGAUUUAGUCAUACAGUGGAAUAUUUUGUAGCUUUUUAAAAAUGAUGUCUAAUAUAGUAAUAGAAGAAAAUACUUAUGAUACAAUAUUAAGAGGAAAAAGCAAGAUACAAAGUUGUUUCUACAGUAUGAUUUUCUACAUUAAAAGAUUUGAGAGACACCUGUACAAAUGCUGUUUUGGUUCCUCUUGGGUGAUAAAAUCAUAGAUGAUUUUUCUUCCUCUUCCUAUCUUUCCUGUACUUUCUAAAAUACAACAAAUAUGUAUUAUUUUAAUAAUCAGAAAAUUAUUUAAAAAUCUAACUGGUAUUUCUUAAGCUGGGUGAGGAGACUCAGGUAUUCAUUUUGUCAUUUAUUUUUAUUCCUACAUACGUCAAUCAUACUUACAUAAUAUAACAGUUAACAAAGCAAAAUAUAAAUAGAUGCCUUAUAGAGAUAGGAUAUAACCAUAUAUAGUGUUACUGAAAAGUCAGGAAUCAAAAGGUGUUGUGUCUCUUGUUUGGGCAUUCACAGAGACUAUAAUUCACUGAUAGUAAACAUCACAGAAAGUAAAAUGGGGGAUAAAGAAAUGUGUUAUUUAUGAACCAAAUAUUAAUUUAAUAACCCAAAAUUUGUUUACAUGUCAUAUUAAGGGUAUGUUGAGAUUGUCUGUUUAAAUAAAAAUAAUCUUUUACUAUAUCCUAACAACCAAUAAUAAUCUUUUUUUUAAAUUGUUUAUUUAUUUGUUUAUUGGCUGUGUUGGGUCUUCGUUGCUGUGUGUGGGCUUUCUCUAGUCAUGGAGAGCAGGGGCUACUCUUUGUUGCCGUGCACGGUCUUCUCAUUGCAGUGGCUUCUCUCGUUGUGGAGCAUGGGCUCCAGGCACGUGGGCUUCAGUAGUUGUGGCACGUGGGCUCAGCAGUUGUGGCACACGAGCUCAGCAGUUGUGGCACACGAGCUUAGUAGCUCCACAGCAUGUGGGAUCUUCCCAGGCCAGGGCUCGAACCCGUGUCCCCUGCAUUGGCAGGCAGAUUCUUAACCACUGUGCCACCAGAGAAGCCCAAUAAUAAUCUUAAUAGAAGAAAAAGUUUAUCUCAUCUGGCUAUUAGAUAAAUUGUCUUCUCUAGAAGAGAGUUCCCAUUCUCUACCUGGGCUAUGGCCUUAGCCUCAUGACGGGUCUCCCUGCUGGCUUCACACAGCUGCUGGAGUGAUUCCUAUGAGAUAAUAUCUGAUGGCAUUCCUUCCAGGCUUUAUUCAAUUCCACAAAUAUUUUUUUAGCACCAUUUAGUUACCAAGCACUGUUCUAGGCACUGAAGACACAUCAGUGAACAAGAUGGAUCAAGUUCCUGCACUUAAGGAACUUAAAUUCUAAUAAGAAUAAAUAAUUCAAAGACAUGCUGACCUCUCCUGCCUUCCUGCAUCCUACCAGAUAUGUCCCUUCACCCAUCAGAUGCUGGCAUUUCUGCCUCAUGGUUUAUGUUCCGAUAGUAUUCAGCUUUUAGUGUUUCAGCUUAGGCAUCACUUCCCCCCUGAAAACCUUUAUGAGCUUCAUACUUGGGCUAAGUGGUCCUUUUCAGUGCCUCAUAGCACUGUGUGUAUAACUUUAUCACAGCACCUCCCACAUUUCACUAAAAUAUGUGUGUCUCCUUCAUGAGGUUGUAAGCACUUUGAGGAAGGAAAUUAUGACUUAAUCAUUUUUGUAAUUCCAGUGGUCAGUGCACAUGAAAGUAGAAAAGGGAAGCAGGAUUAAUAGGUUAGAAAAAGCUGGAGUGAUAUUGUUUUUGUUUUUUAAACUUUUUAUUUUUAUUUUUUUUACAAUAAACUGCAUAUAUUUGGAGCGUACAGUUUGGUAUCCCAAUCUCCCAAUCCGUUCCCACCCCCCAACCCUCCCUGCUUUCCCCACUUGGUGUCCAUAUGUUUGUUCGCUACAUCUGUGUCUCUAUUUCUGCCUUGCAAACUGGUUGAUUUGUACCAUUUUUCUAUAGUCCACAUAUAUGUGUUAAUAUACAAUAUUUGUUUUUCUCUUUCUGACUCACUUCACUCUGUGUGACAGUCUCUAGGUCCAUCCAUGUCUCUAAAAAUGUCCCAGUUUCAUUGCUUUUUACAGCUGAGUAAUAUUCCAUUGUAUGUAUGUACCACAUCUUCUUUAUCCAUUCAUCUGUUGAUGGACAUUUAGGUUGCUUCCAUGUCCUGGCUAUUGUAAAUAGUGCUGCAAUGAACAUGGGAGUGCAUGUGUCUUUUUGAAUAAUGGUGUUCUCUGGGUAUAUGCCCAGCAGUGGGAUUGCUGGGUCAAGUGAUAUUGGUUUUAACGUAUCUAGUCUGAUGGAGCAAGUGGCACAGGAAGGCUUCCUUGGGUGGGACAGUAAAAUGUUGUGAGAAAGAAAGGCUGGGGCAAAAAGAAAAGAUCUUGCUCAUGGUCAUAUUUGGCGCUUCCUCAACAUUGGUUUGUUUAUGAAUGUGGAUAUGACUUGGGUGUGGCCUUUGCUAUUAACACAGAAGGCUGCUUGUAAAUAGACAGUUCUCUGCAAAGGACUAAAUCAGACCACUUUAUUAUUCCUCUGACCCUUGUCCUUUGCCUCCCAGGUCACGGGAACAAAGAAUGUGGAUACUGUGAUCUGGUUAUGGAGAAAUAUAACCCCCAUGAAAGUAAGGAUGAGACACUCCUGUCCCAGUUUAUAUUUUUCUUACAUUGUGCAGUUAGUUAAACUAUUUGGCUACAGGCCCCUUAGUAAGUAAUUAGGAAGCAUUAAGUAAUUAACCAGGAGCAGCAUGGAGCCAGUAGUGAUUAUCUUCAAUCCCUAAAAGGAGAGUAAAUUGCAGUGAAAAAAAAAAAGAGUAAUUUUAGUGAAUGGUGAAAGUAGGCAGAGCAUCUAACCACAAUCACUAGUUAAGCCAUUAACCAAACAAGAUCACUCUCCCUAGGCAAGGUGACAUUGAAUCAAAUAAGCAUCAACAGCACAAGCAAAAAGCCACAAUGCAAUCCUAAAAUGGGGCGCAAGGCAGGAUCUGUAUCGGCUACCCUGUUUCUAAGUAGUAACAGGAAAACCCAAUGCAAGCAUGUUUAAUCAGUAAAAAGGAUUUAUGGGACCAGGAAAAGGAAGAUUCCGAAGUAAGGAAGUGAACUAAUCAGGAGAGAUUAACACUGUAAUGGAUAACCUCAAAAUUCUGGUGACUUUACACAAUCUAAAUACCUUUCUCCAUGCACUUCAGUCCAGUGUUCCUGGUCAAGCAACAGUCCUGGGACUCUGUCCUCCACACGGUUACCCAGGCUCUCUCCAUUGUCUUUCUCCACUCAACCAGCAGGUGGGGAGAGAAAAGGGAAGAUCACUGCAGAGGGGGCAGGCUUGAAAGGGGAGACAUCGAUUUGGUCCACAUUCCAUUGGCUAGAACUCAGUUAUAUGGCCAAGGAGGCUGGGAAAUAGAGUGAGCUGUGUGCCCAGGGGAAAAAGGAAACACUGGUGAAUACUUAGCUAGCUUUUGCUAGCUGCAGUGGGAGCUAAAUGUUGUCUGGCUUCUUUCCAAUGAGAAUAGAGUGCGUCAGUCCCUGUAUUCUAAGAAAGACACUGAGAUUCACCCUGAGUUGCAGGCACAUCCCUGAAGAGAUGACCUGACCAGGGGACGGCAAUGGGCUGGUGGCCUCAAGCCCACCAGAGCCCACCUCCUGAUCUGGAGGCGGGGUCAGCUUUCCCUGAAGUGUCUGGACUACAUGGACAAGAGAUUCUGCUGAACCUGGGGACAUCACUAAGGCCAUGAAGAAGAGAGGUCCCAGUUUUGAUUCACAGCAACUAAAGGUACUCAGGACUCUCCAAUUACUGCUGUGUUUCCAGUUGUACAUUUGGGACUUUGCUACCAUCGAUCCAGGGAAAGAUGUUCAGUAAACUUUCCCUAAAAGCAUCUGAAGUCUGGAACAAAUAUGGACUUGAACAGCAGAGAGUGGGGAGUGACAUAUGAGCACAAAGCUUAUGUUGAAACUAACUCCACAGAAGAUAACAGAGUUGCAGUAAACUGGCUGAUUAGUCACACCCCCUGCUCUAAUGGAGAUUACAAAAGCCAAACUGUUUUUACCGGCGACACCCAAUGAGCCAGACUAAACAGGAGGAAUUAAGGGAGUAUUUAAACUGGAGUGCUGAAUGAUGACACCAGCGUCGUUGCCUCAGAGAACUUAUACCAAAUGCAAGCCCAGCAGCCUGGAGCAAAGUAGGUGAAAACAACUCUUUCAAAGAGCUUAAGUACUCAAGUAACAAGAAACCCAAGAUCCACAGCCAGUGACAGGAGAGAGAGACUCAGGAGCACAGGGUUCUGGAAGCACCCAGCAAGAUGAGCCACUACUAGAGACAGGGUUUCUUGUCCUAGCUCUUAGAGAAAGAAGCUCGUGUACAUUUUCUUGCUGAUUUUUCACCAACCAUUUCUUUUUCAGUAAUUCUUUCCUCAUUUGCAUCUAUUUUUCGAUGUUGCCUUUGUUGCCAUUUAAAAUUAAGCAAUCCAGCAAACCACGUAAGUACCAAGUAUGAGAAGUUGAUAGAAGAUAAAUGAAAACCAUAUAUGGGUGUGACCCUUCAUAAUGCUUUUGUGAUGGAGGGAUCUUCAUUAUUCAGUGUAACAAUGAGUGUGUUACAAUAGGGUGCUGUUUCACUUGAAGCUGUAGGUAUGGGAAUGGGUAGAACAUUCAGACAUGAAAAACAAAAUUCAUUUUUCUGCCAGUGAAACUGACUGAUGAUGAAGGCACAGCGUGUCCAAAAUAAAAGUAGACACAUUUUUAGUGAAUUUUGUUUAUUACCAACAAUGAUUUUGGAGACAGUUUAUAUCAUACAGAUGGCCACUUUGGUCCUGUUGUGGCUCAUGUAGCAUGUCAAAAUUUUGAUUACUACUAAUUGUGUCUCACAUUUGCUUGUUACAAUUUUAAGAAGUGUUUUUCAUACACUUCAGCCCAGUCGUUGUCACCUUGACGUCUGUUUCAUCUUAGCUCAAUGUAACUUAAAUCUUAGAUACAUAAAACUAGAUCCUUCUAAGAAAUAACCCUGGAUGAAAAAUACUAUAAGGUAUUAAUAAUAGUGUAAUAAUUUGAAAUAUCUAGAAUUACAGAGGAAUCUAGAAACCAUUACAUCAUGGUCCUCUGGCUUGCCUCCUUCCUGGAGUCCAUUCCCAGGUCAUGUCAGGAGAUCCAUGAACUGAGGCUCAUCUACAAAAGUCUCCAUCUUGGGUGCACUCCAGAAGCUUCUAUAAGAAAUCACAGAGCCCAGGCCACACCUCGGAUCAAAUAAAUCAGUAUCUCUGAGGGUGGGAUCCAGGUAUCAGUAUUUGUAAAAUUUCCAGGUGAUUCUAAAAUGCAGCUGGAUUUGAGAACCAUUGUCCCUAUAUAAAAAGGAACCUCCUGAUGGAAAAUGAGGUUGUGUGAUCCUUCUGGCAUACAGAAUUUUGGCAUCCCAUCAUUUCUAAUAAUGUUUGAAGAAUCAAAAGCACGCUUAUUCUUUGAGAAGAUCUUUUACAGACACUGCAUAAAGAGUUUUCCCCAUGUUUGCAAUAGAUUUGGAGUGGUGGAAGCAUUUUAAAAUUAAAUGAGGGAUGGGCAUAAUGAAACUAAUUGGUAAUUACUUACAGACCAUUUAUUUCUGCUAAGGCAGCAACUUGCUUUGUUGGAAUUACUGGCUGCAGAUUAAGGAAGAGGAUCUUGAAAGAACAUUUACAGUAACUGAGUCACCUGCUGUCACAACAAACCAAUUUUUUACCUGAGAAGCUUUCAAAUUCAGGAAUAGUAAAUGCUUUUAAAUGAAUUGUAACAAGCACAAGAUAUAGAUAAAUGACUGGGGAGUCAGUUGCUCAAGACUAAAUGUCCAAAAUUCUUCCUUAAAUCUAGCUCUGACAUUGACUCACUCAUUGAUCUUUUGGGAUUUAGUUUUUUAUGCUUUCAUUUUCCCAUCUAUAAAAUAGAGUAUUAGCAUCUGUUUCAUGGAGGUAUUAAAAUAAUUAUUUAUAAUGCACUUUGAAGAUGAAAAAUACAUAUAAUUACAUUCCAUGAGAGUUCCCAUGGGAGUUGCUGAAGAUAUGACUGAAGCUCAUUGUUCAAGCUGGAAGUUCGACUCUCUUAAAUGUGUGCUUUUUCAACUCUUUGUCGAUUCAUUGAUUCAACAAAUAUUCAAUUGUGACCCACCAUGUGCUGAAGCUUCGGUUACUCAGUGGUGAAAAACAUCCCCUGUGCUCAUGAAGUUAUAGUCCUGUGUGGGGAAACAGACAACAAGCAACCAGUCAUAUCCAGGUAAUAGUAAGUAGUGCUUUAGGAAGGGGUAGGAGGAGAUGGGUAAAGAAAUAGUUAAACAGGGUAGGAGUGUGGAGCCAAUUUAGUUGGGGUGGUUAGAGAAGGUCUCUAGGGAAGGUAACAAGAAAAAGUGCAGGAAGGAAUUUCACGUAGACAUCUUAGGAGAGAGAUUUCCAACUAGAGGGAUUCAUAAGUGGACAGUGUUCUGGAUCUUCAAGAGUAAUACAAAGGCCAUCACAACUGAGAUGGAGUGAGGAGAUUUAUUUUAAAUUAGUAUCGAUCCAUGCAUCAUCAGAGUCAAAGUAAUACUGCACUUCUUUUCCAAGUAUGUGAUGAUGGCUUACAGAUCAGCAUAGGAACUCCAAAAACACAGUCCUAAAUAUUCUUUUCUUUUCUUUCUUUUUCUUUCUUCCUUCCUUCCUUUCUUUCUUUCCCUCCCUCUUUCUUUUUCUUUUUCUUUCUUUUUCUUUUUCUUUCUCUUUCGCUUCCUCCCUACCCCCCCUCCUUCCUCCCUCCAUCUCUCUCUCUCUCCUUCCUUCCUUCCUUCUUCUUACAGUUUUAUUGAGAUAUAACUGACAUACAGCACUGUAUAAGCUUAAGGUGUACAGCAUAAUGACGACGUAGAUACAUCAUGAAAUGAUUAUCACAAUAGGUUUAGUGAACAUCCAUCAUCUCAUAUAGAUACAAAAUAACAGAAAAAUAAAAACAUUUUUUCUUAUGAUGAGAACUCUUAGGAAUUACUCCCUUUAACAACUUUCAUACAUACUGUACAGCAGUGUUUAUUAUAUUUAUCACAUUGUACAUUAUAUCCCUAUUACUUUAUCUUGUAACUGAACAUUCUUUUCUUAGUCAAAUAUUUAUUAGUACCCAUUAUUUUCUAGAUUAAAAAAUUUUUGUUUUCGAGAAGUAUAAACUUUAGAGAAUUAUAUACCUAAGUUUGCUCUCAGAUGAAACAAUUAACUCAGUAUGAAGUUUGUGUUAGUGUUUAGGCAGAUUCUAUGGUGAUGCUACGCUUUUUUUUUCUUUUUAGUUCUAGCCAAGUUGAAUAAUAAGAAAAAAGUGACUCCUAAAAAAUAAUGACACUGGAAUUAGACUCCAAAGGACUAAUUUUUAUUUUCUCUAUGAUCUCAAACAAGUCACUGUAUUUUUUGAUUAGGCUGAAAGAUUAUUCAUAGGAACACAGUGAAUGCUUUCUAGAAGUUUAUAUCUUGUAGAAUAUAAUACUGACAAAGGAAAACAUACUAACAUGUUUAUGAUCAGAAUAAGAAAACAUUUGUAAAAUAUUGAAUAUUUUAGGCAAACCAAAAGGUAUAGAUAAUAAUACAAUGGAUAACACAUUUUGGUUAAAAAUAAUCUAUAAUCUAUAUUUGAUUUCAUUUAUGUAAGGUUAACAGCAAUGAAUGCUUAAAUAGCCUUGGUCUUUUUUUCUCUUUCUCUUUCUUUUUAAAUUUAAUCAACUCAUGGCCAAAACUAUAUCCUCUAUACCCAAAUGACAGAUAUCAUAUCAUUUUAUCUAUAAAUAUUUCAUUAUGUACCUUGAAAAGAUAAUCUUAAAAAGGAACACUGAACAAUACUUCCUUUAUAUCAUUGCAUAUCCAGUCAGUGUUCAAAUUUCCCUUAUUGUCUCAUAAUUUUUAAAAAUUCAAUGGAUUUUUAAAAUCUGUGGUAAAAUAUGCAUAACAAAAUUUAUCAUUUUAAUCAUUUUUAAGUGUACUGUUCAGUGGUAUCAGUCCAUUUACAUUGCUGCACAAUCAUCACCGCCAUCCAUCUCCAGAACUUUUUCAUUUUCCCAAACUGAAAUUACAAACCCAUUAAACAAUAACCCCCAAUUCCUCCCUGCCUCCUCCCCCAGAAGUAUGACAACCAUCAUUCUACCUUCUGUCUCUAUGAGUCUGAAUACUCUAGGUACCUCAUAGAAUUGGAAUUAUACAGUAUUUGUCCUUUUGUGACUGGCUUAUCUCACUGAGCAUAAUUGUCUUCAAGGUUCAACUAUGUUGUAGCAUAUGUCAGGAUUUCCUUCCUUUUUAAGGCUGAAUAAUAUUUCAUUCCAUGUAUAGACCACAUUUUGUUUAUCUGAUUGUCUCAUAAUUCUUUUUAACUGUCUUAUUUCCAUCUUUAUUUACAAAUUCACUGAAUUAUUUGGGGGCAAAAAGGCACAUAGAAUAUGUGGUAGUGAUAUUUUUCAAAACCCAAAGAGAUGAGGAAUCUAAGAAUCAAAUGACAGAAUUUAAAGGCUUUGUAAGACCUUUUUAGGAGCUCCAGCAAUCCAAAGUCCAGUGGUUAGGACCGGCGCUUUCACUGCUGUGAGCGAGGGUUCAAUCCCUGGUCAGGGAACUAAGAUCCCACAAGUCUCAUGGUGUGGGAAAAAAAACAAACAAAAAACCAAAACAAAAAAACCCUGCUUUCCACGGGGCCAGACUGUUCUCUUCUUUAGCAGAUAUGGUAUCUGCCCCAUGGUAAGACAUCAUUGCAGAGUGCUCUGAACCAGUGAGCCUGGCUCUGUGUGCCCAGCUUGGCUGGUCGGGAGAGGACUGUGCUCUGGCAAGUUGAUUCAGUGUCUCUGGCAGAGACAUUGCAGCAUUUGUCCCCAGACAGAACUUCCUAAUACAUCUGAAAUCACCAUGUAGAGCAACAAGAUGCUAUGAGCCUGCAUCGUCAUUAAGUCACUUCUAAUGCGGUCUCUUGAAAGACUGUGUAAAUGUCAGAGAGUCAAAUGGGAAUAGAUGUUUUGCAUUAUUGAUGUGAAGCAGGGAAUGAAAAUCUGAAGAUUCUGAAUUCACUGUAGUUAAUCAUAUGUUGAUGAAGUUGGGAUCUUGGAAUUACAGUUCUAGGACUUCCCAACUUCUUUCCAACCUACUCUUUCAAAAUAUUAUACUCAGGUCAGCAUAAGGGUCACAUAGAGAUAACACUGGUGUAAAAAAUUCCAGCAAAUUGUGUAAUUGCAAAAUUUCCACCAUUGAUGUGAAAUUUAAUUGAUAGUUAAAAGGGAUGAGAUGGAGCUAUGUGUAAUGAGGUGGAUAGACCUACAGUCUGUCAUACAGAGUGAAGUAAGUCAGAAAGAGAAAGACAAAUAUUGUAUGCUAACUCACAUAUACGGAAUCUAAAAAUGGUACUGAUGAACUCAGUGACAAGAACAAGGACACAGGUACAGAGAAUAAUGGACUGGAGAACUCGAGGUUUGGGAGGGGGCGGGGGGUGAAGGGGAAGCUGAGACGAAGUGAGAGAGUAGCACAGACAUAUAUAUACUACCAACUGUAAAAUAGCCAGUGGGAAGUUGUUGUAUAACAAAGGGAGUUCAAUUUGAGGAUGGAAGAUGCCUUAGAGGAC
This is a long non-coding RNA of Hippopotamus amphibius kiboko, 10054 nucleotides long. RefSeq lists it as uncharacterized. The transcript is spliced from 4 exons. The record is from RefSeq and is a predicted model, not a curated record. NCBI's taxonomy places the organism in Eukaryota, Metazoa, Chordata, Mammalia, Artiodactyla, Hippopotamidae.